This 905-nucleotide ribosomal RNA is filed under the name uncultured bacterium. Its description in RNAcentral is "bacterial SSU rRNA". It matches the Rfam family "Bacterial small subunit ribosomal RNA", at positions 52 to 957 of the family's 1533-position model. The record is from RNAcentral.
CACAUGCAGUCGAACGAGAAUCUGUGGAUCGAGGAUUCGUCCAAGUGAAGCAGAGGACAGUGGCGGACGGGUGAGUAACGCGUGAGGAACCUGCCUUUCAGAGGGGGACAACAGUUGGAAACGACUGCUAAUACCGCAUGAUACAUUUGGGUGGCAUCAUCUGAAUGUCAAAGAUUUAUCGCUGAAAGAUGGCCUCGCGUCUGAUUAGCUGGUUGGUGAGGUAACGGCCCACCAAGGCGACGAUCAGUAGCCGGACUGAGAGGUUGACCGGCCACAUUGGGACUGAGAUACGGCCCAGACUCCUACGGGAGGCAGCAGUGGGGAAUAUUGGGCAAUGGGCGCAAGCCUGACCCAGCAACGCCGCGUGAAGGAAGAAGGCUUUCGGGUUGUAAACUUCUUUUAAGAGGGAAGAGCAGAAGACUGUACCUCUAGAAUAAGCCACGGCUAACUACGUGCCAGCAGCCGCGGUAAUACGUAGGUGGCAAGCGUUGUCCGGAUUUACUGGGUGUAAAGGGCGUGCAGCCGGGAAUGCAAGUCAGAUGUGAAAUCCAUGGGCUUAACCCAUGAACUGCAUUUGAAACUGUAUUUCUUGAGUACUGGAGAGGCAAUCGGAAUUCCUAGUGUAGCGGUGAAAUGCGUAGAUAUUAGGAGGAACACCAGUGGCGAAGGCGGAUUGCUGGACAGCAACUGACGGUGAGGCGCGAAAGUGUGGGGAGCAAACAGGAUUAGAUACCCUGGUAGUCCACACUGUAAACGAUGAAUACUAGGUGUGCGGGGACUGACCCCCUGCGUGCCGCAGUUAACACAAUAAGUAUUCCACCUGGGGAGUACGAUCGCAAGGUUGAAACUCAAGGAAUUUGACGGGGGCCCGCACAAGCGGUGGAUUAUGUGGUUUAAUUCGAAGC